CCUACGGGAGGCAGCAGUAGGGAAUCUUGCGCAAUGGGCGAAAGCCUGACGCAGCAACGCCGCGUGAUCGAGACGCCCUUCGGGGUGUAAAGAUCUGUCAGUGGGGACGAAACUUGACGGUACCCACAGAGGCCGCCCCUGCUAACUCCGUGCCAGCAGCCGCGGGCAUACGGGGGGUGCAAGCGUUGUCCGGAAUCAUUGGGCGUAAGGAGUUCGUAGGCGGGACGUCAAGUCUGGUGUUAAAGGCAGAGGCUCAACUGCGGUACGGCACUGGAUACUUGCGAGCUUGAAUGCGGUAGAGGUAAAGGGAAUGCCUGGUGUAGCGGUGAAAUGCUUAGAUAUCAGGCAGAACAUCGGUGGCGAAAGCGCUUUACUGGGCCGUAAUUGACGCUGAGGAACGAAAGCCAGGGGAGCAAAUGGGAUUAGAUACCCUAGUAGUC
Molecule: ribosomal RNA, 440 nt
Filed under: uncultured bacterium
Lineage: Bacteria
Description: partial 16S ribosomal RNA
Rfam family: Bacterial small subunit ribosomal RNA
Source: RNAcentral